RNAcentral lists this ribosomal RNA (489 nucleotides) under uncultured bacterium. RNAcentral describes it as "bacterial SSU rRNA". It matches the Rfam family "Bacterial small subunit ribosomal RNA", at positions 41 to 507 of the family's 1533-position model. The record is from RNAcentral.
GGCAUGCUUAACACAUGCAAGUCGAACGGUAACAUGGAGAGCUUGCUCUCUGAUGACGAGUGGCGGACGGGUGAGUAAGGCGUAGGAAUCUGCCCAACAGUGGGGAAUAACCUGGGGAAACCCAGGCUAAUACCGCAUACGCUCUGUACUUAGGUAGAGAGGAAAGCGGGGGCCCUUUUCGAAGGCCUCGCGCUGAUGGAUGAGCCUACGUCCGAUUAGCUAGUUGGUAGGGUAAGAGCCUACCAAGGCGACGAUCGGUAGCUGGUCUUAGCGGAUGAUCAGCCACACUGGGACUGAGACACGGCCCAGACUCCUACGGGAGGCAGCAGUGGGGAAUAUUGGACAAUGGGGGCAACCCUGAUCCAGCAAUGCCGCGUGUGUGAAGAAGGCCUGCGGGUUGUAAAGCACUUUCAGUGGUGAGGAAAGCUCACGCGUUAAUAGCGCGGGAGGGUGACGUUAGCCACAGAAGCAGCACCGGCUAACUCCGUG